UGUGUUUGCUUUUAGAUCCUAAGAGUUCAUAACCCUAACUGGGUAUGAGAAUGUUCAACCUGGGUGUUAUCCUGGGUAACAGAACCAAGCUUCGGGAAAUGAGACGCUAAAGGAAAACAGCGAGGAUGAAUCUGUUAUAAAUGAAGCAACCACACAUGUACACAUUAUACCAGGAAGCUUCAGGCAUCUGCUCGCUGUGGCCUGAGACCUCUUCCUAG
This 218-nucleotide long non-coding RNA is filed under the name Fukomys damarensis (Damara mole-rat). RNAcentral's name for it is "lncRNA (ENSFDAG00000029546.1)". Lineage: Eukaryota; Metazoa; Chordata; Mammalia; Rodentia; Bathyergidae. The record is from RNAcentral.